Molecule: ribosomal RNA, 468 nt
Filed under: uncultured bacterium
Lineage: Bacteria
Description: partial 16S ribosomal RNA
Rfam family: Bacterial small subunit ribosomal RNA
Source: RNAcentral
GACGAACGCUGGCGGCGCGCCUAACACAUGCAAGUCGAACGGAGUCAAGAGGAGCUUGCUUUUCUUGACUUAGUGGCGAACGGGUGAGUAACGCGUGAGUAACCUGCCCUGGAGUGGGGGACAACAGUUGGAAACGACUGAUAAUACCGCAUAAGCCCACGGAUCCGCAUGGAUCUGCGGGAAAAGGAUUUAUUCGCUUCAGGAUGGACUCGCGUCCAAUUAGCUAGUUGGUGAGGUAACGGCCCACCAAGGCGACGAUUGGUAGCCGGACUGAGAGGUUGAACGGCCACAUUGGGACUGAGACACGGCCCAGACUCCUACGGGAGGCAGCAGUGGGGGAUAUUGCACAAUGGGGGAAACCCUGAUGCAGCGACGCCGCGUGGAGGAAGAAGGUUUUCGGAUUGUAAACUCCUGUCGUGAGGGACGAUAAUGACGGUACCUAACAAGAAAGCACCGGCUAACUACGUG